Long non-coding RNA from Cynara cardunculus var. scolymus (artichoke), 913 nucleotides. RefSeq lists it as uncharacterized. The transcript has 5 exons. Lineage: Eukaryota; Viridiplantae; Streptophyta; Magnoliopsida; Asterales; Asteraceae. The record is from RefSeq and is a predicted model, not a curated record.
UCAUUCUACCCUAAGAUUUCAGAUUUUAAAUUUUGAAAUCUGCCGCUCCAAAUAGGAUUUUGGUACGUUGAGGGUUUUCUUUUUGACAUUGCAGAGUUUUCUUUCCCAUCAUCGUAUUGGCUAUUCCAGUUCAAUAUCAUAUUAUUCCCAAUAAACAAUCAAAUUUUCAAAAUUCAAAUUGAGAAUUGGGAAUCCUGCUCCCAAAUUUGCUUCAUCUCCAUCUUGAUCGUUUUGAGAAACUAGGGAUUCCAUUCACUGAUUAUGUGCUGGGUGAAUUGGCAUUCCGUUAUGGGAUCUUUUUGCAUGUAGACCUUUGUCUUUGUGGUUUUGUGCUGCCUUUUGCAUGUAAACUCGGGUACCAUGUUCCACCAUUUGAUUUUUCUGUCCAAGGAGUGACCUCUAUAUCGGCAGAUGUGCAUAAGUAUCGGUUGGCGCCCAAAGGGACACGUAUAGUUUUAUAUAGAAACCAUAAUAUUCAGAAGAUUGACCAAGAACUGAAAAGGGAGAGGAGAAAGCAGUCUAAUUGAGAAUUUGCCAGAAGUUCGAGAUUAAGGAAAUAGCAUGGGAAUAGAUGGUUGGCUGCCAGAAUGUUAAUUCAUAGUAGAACCAGUCCAAGUUGAAUCCAUCAAGUCGCCUCCUAAAAUACCAAUUGAGUCCAUCAAGUAUCCAAUAUCCAACAGAUGGCUUACCGGGUAUCAUUCACUUUACCGGGAUCAUGGAGAUGGAUUUAGUUUUGAUUUGCCUAAAUGCUUCUAAUAUAUCCAUCUCUAAAAUAUGUUCAAGUCGAUAACGAAAACAAAACAAAAACAUAAGAUUCAAGGGUAAAUAAAUGAAAUGCUAAACAAAAACAAAAGAUUGAAGGGUAAAUAAACGAACUUUUGAAGAUUUGGAAACUGUUUGUAUCCUGAAGAAC